Molecule: transfer RNA, 73 nt
Filed under: Paludibacteraceae bacterium
Lineage: Bacteria; Pseudomonadati; Bacteroidota; Bacteroidia; Bacteroidales; Paludibacteraceae
Also listed under: 1 other name
Description: tRNA-Ala
Rfam family: tRNA
About the family: Transfer RNA (tRNA) molecules are approximately 80 nucleotides in length. Their secondary structure includes four short double-helical elements and three loops (D, anti-codon, and T loops).
Source: RNAcentral
GGGGUAUUAGCUCAUCUGGUAGAGCGUAACGUUCGCAAUGUUAAGGUAAGGGGUUCGAGUCCCCUAUACUCCA